RNAcentral lists this ribosomal RNA (100 nucleotides) under Zoanthus sansibaricus. RNAcentral describes it as "partial 28S ribosomal RNA". It matches the Rfam family "Eukaryotic large subunit ribosomal RNA", at positions 1 to 102 of the family's 3401-position model. Lineage: Eukaryota; Metazoa; Cnidaria; Anthozoa; Zoantharia; Zoanthidae. The record is from RNAcentral.
GACCUCAGAUCAGGCAAGGCUACCCGCUGUAUUUAAGCAUAUUAAUAAGCGGAGGAAAAGAAACUAACNANGAUCCCCUAGUAAUGGCGAAUGAAGCGGA